AGCGGUUAAGCACUUGGCUGCUAACCAAAAGGUCGGUGGUUCAAACCCACCAGCUGCUC
Molecule: transfer RNA, 59 nt
Organism: Loxodonta africana (African savanna elephant)
Lineage: Eukaryota; Metazoa; Chordata; Mammalia; Proboscidea; Elephantidae
Rfam family: tRNA
About the family: Transfer RNA (tRNA) molecules are approximately 80 nucleotides in length. Their secondary structure includes four short double-helical elements and three loops (D, anti-codon, and T loops). Further hydrogen bonds mediate the characteristic L-shaped molecular structure. tRNAs have two regions of fundamental functional importance: the anti-codon, which is responsible for specific mRNA codon recognition, and the 3' end, to which the tRNAs corresponding amino acid is attached (by aminoacyl-tRNA synthetases). tRNAs cope with the degeneracy of the genetic code in two manners: having more than one tRNA (with a specific anti-codon) for a particular amino acid; and 'wobble' base-pairing, i.e. permitting non-standard base-pairing at the 3rd anti-codon position.
Source: Rfam